CUGGAAUGUGUUUGAUGACCAACUCAGCGUGGUGUGUGACAGGAUGUGGCCAUUCAAAACAAAACCUUUUACAGAAGCAUGUUAAAACUUUGCUAGGUCUUUUCUCUUCUCUGGAAGGUUAAAGCCUGGGGUUUCAACUGUGCACUUCAGCCUUUGGACAUAUCCAAGAAGCUAUUUUCUGAGACAAGUCUGGGGCCUGCUUUCCAGUUCUCUUCUAAUCUGUUCUCGGUGGAGAUGAGAUGACCUUCCAUCCAGGUGUUCACAGCUGCACAUUUCCCCCUAGGCUCUGCAGUAGCUUCACCAUGUGCAGGCAUCAGGCAGAGGGGCCAGAACAUCAGCUGGACCCUGAGGCUGGGCUGGAGGAUGGCCUUGGACCCGCAUCUCUCCUGAGCUAGGCAGGCUCAUUCACCCACACCCCGGUCCCUCGGGCACAGUCCGCCAUGUGGCCCCAACCGCAGAGGCAGAGCCUGCCCCAGCAGGAGACCCCUGGAGUCUGGAGUGGAAGCCCCGUGCUUGUGGGAGCUUGAGCCGUGGAGAGCAUCUCCUCCCACGUACUGCCCUCUGAGGCCGAGCUCCGGCCCCUCCUGCCCGGCCUGCUGAUGUCCACUGACUGGACCACCGGUCUCCGGGAGCUGCUUUGAGGCUUGAUGACCCUUCAGAGCAGGGCGUUCUCCCCACUCGGCUGAACUCACAUUGGUUUUUAUCGCAUCCUGGUUUCACAGCGGAAGCAGCCUAGCAGGGCGGUCAAGACUACAGCAGGUGCUGGGAAGACAGGGUGAAGGAGAAAGGCAGCCGCUCGGGCGGACGCUCGAAGGAAGGAAAGCCUUCCCUGCUCGGCAGCCCGAGCAUCACAGCUGCAGCGCAGACGGUCCCCAUUCAAGAGCAUGCAAUAAUUGUGUCUGAGAAGUUCGAGACGUGUAGAAAUGAUAGUCGAGCAUUGGAAGAGAGAGGAAAUAGACCAUGAGAGCAAAAUGACCAACUUGCUGAAGACAGACCGAUAGCAUGCAGAAAAGAGGAGAAAGACGGGACAGGAGAAAAGUGAAUACUGCAGGAUCCGUCAAACUGCAGAUGCCGAUGGGGAUCAUCCACAAGCGCUGGGGACCGCAGGCUCUGAGACGGGAAACUCGGAACUCACGCAUUCGCAGAGCGAGCCAUGGGGAGGCUCUGACACCUCCUGAAUAAAUACAGCGGUGCUUUACUACCAAUCAUGGGGGCGUUCUACCAAGCCAGAUGCCACACCUGAUACAGCCAGUUAUUGUUGUUAUUGUCGUUACUACAACUGCUACCUCGAGAAGUUUGGGGUCUAAUAAGGAAAACAUACGUAAACACAUAAAAAGAAUCCAGGCCAUUCAUUAGUAUAAGAGAUGUUUGAAUAAUGGACUAUGUGAUGCAUAAGAGGAAAUAUCACUUGGGCAUCAGGGAAGGUUCUGGAGAACAGGGGACAUCUGAGCUGUGUCUUGAAGCGUAAGUAGGAGUUCAUGAGGUAGAAAGGGGAGAAGUGCAUUCUGGGUAGAGGGAGCCGCAUGUACUCAGUCUCAGGGCGUGGAAGUACUUGGCAGGUCUUGGAGAGUAAAGGGUUUCAUGUUGAGAGAAAGGAGAGCGUGUGAGUCAGAUAGAGAAGAAAGCUAGUAAAGCCGCUCGUAAAAAGGCCACUGUGCCGUGCUGGGGCAUUCGGACUGCGCCCUGUUGGCAGUGAAGAGCUGUGCUGAAGCUUUUAGGCAGGGCGGUGACAGGAUUGCCACGGGCACUGGCUAACUUCUAAAUGCAGAGUCUUGCCCAGGCAAGUGGGGCUGGCACGGUUGCCCUCGAUGGACUUGCGUCACUUUGGGCCCCAGUCUCUGGUCACCCGUGUUCAGGAGAGGGUUCUAAGCUGC
Molecule: long non-coding RNA, 1874 nt
Filed under: Equus caballus (horse)
Lineage: Eukaryota; Metazoa; Chordata; Mammalia; Perissodactyla; Equidae
Description: lncRNA (ENSECAG00000055210.1)
Source: RNAcentral